CACGUUAUUCGAGCGGCCGACGUCUGAUUAGCUAGUUGGUGGGGUAAUGGCCUACCAAGGCGACGAUCAGUAGCGGGUCUGAGAGGAUGAUCCGCCACACUGGAACUGAGACACGGUCCAGACUCCUACGGGAGGCAGCAGUGGGGAAUUUUGGACAAUGGGGGCAACCCUGAUCCAGCCAUUCCGCGUGAGUGAAGAAGGCCUUCGGGUUGUAAAGCUCUUUCAGCUGGAACGAAACGGUGCGCUCUAACAUAGCGUGCUAAUGACGGUACCAGCAGAAGAAGCACCGGCUAACUACGUGCCAGCAGCCGCGGUAAUACGUAGGGUGCGAGCGUUAAUCGGAAUUACUGGGCGUAAAGCGUGCGCAGGCGGAUUGUUAAGCAAGAUGUGAAAUCCCCGGGCUUAACCUGGGAAUGGCAUUUUGAACUGGCAGUCUAGAGUGCGUCAGAGGGGGGUGGAAUUCCACGUGUAGCAGUGAAAUGCGUAGAGAUGUGGAGGAACACCAAUGGCGAAGGCAGCCCCCUGGGAUGACACUGACGCUCAUGUACGAAAGCGUGGGUAGCAAACAGGAUUAGAU
This 577-nucleotide ribosomal RNA is filed under the name uncultured bacterium. Its description in RNAcentral is "bacterial SSU rRNA". It matches the Rfam family "Bacterial small subunit ribosomal RNA", at positions 214 to 783 of the family's 1533-position model. The record is from RNAcentral.